Molecule: ribosomal RNA, 406 nt
Filed under: uncultured bacterium
Lineage: Bacteria
Description: partial 16S ribosomal RNA
Rfam family: Bacterial small subunit ribosomal RNA
Source: RNAcentral
AUUGAACGCUGGCGGCAGGCCUAACACAUGCAAGUCGAACGAGUGGCGGACGGGUGAGUAAUGUCUGGGAAACUGCCUGAUGGAGGGGGAUAACUACUGGAAACGGUAGCUAAUACCGCAUACCAUCGGAUGUGCCCAGAUGGGAUUAGCUAGUAGGUGGGGUAAAGGCUCACCUAGGCGACGAUCCCUACCUGGUCUGAGAGGAGGCCCAGCCACACGGGAACGGAGACACGGUCCAGACUCCUACGGGAGGCAGCAGUGGGGAAGAUUGCACAAUGGGCGCAAGCCUGAUGCAGCCAGGCCGCGUGUAUGAAGGAGGCCUUCGGGUUGUAAAGUACGUUCAGCGGGGAGGCGGUACCCGCAGAAGAAGCACCGGCUAACUCCGUGCCAGCAGCCGCGGUAAUUC